Molecule: ribosomal RNA, 247 nt
Filed under: uncultured bacterium
Lineage: Bacteria
Description: partial 16S ribosomal RNA
Rfam family: Bacterial small subunit ribosomal RNA
Source: RNAcentral
AUACGGAGGGUGCAAGCGUUGUUCGGAAUUACUGGGCGUAAAGCGCGUGUAGGCGGCCUGGCAAGUCAGACGUGAAAGCCCUCGGCUUAACCGGGGAAGUGCGCCUGAAACUGCCAGGCUUGAGUACGGGAGAGGGAGGCGGAAUUCCCAGUGUAGAGGUGAAAUUCGUAGAUAUUGGGAGGAACACCGGUGGCGAAAGCGGCCUCCUGGACCGAUACUGACGCUGAGACGCGAGAGCGUGGGUAGC